RNAcentral lists this ribosomal RNA (419 nucleotides) under uncultured eukaryote. Its description in RNAcentral is "SSU rRNA". It matches the Rfam family "Eukaryotic small subunit ribosomal RNA", at positions 592 to 1014 of the family's 1831-position model. The record is from RNAcentral.
CAAUAGCGUAUAUUAAAGUUGUUGCGGUUAAAAAGCUCGUAGUUGGAUUUCUGUCGAAGACUGCCGGUCCGCUCUAUGAGCGUGUAUCUGGUUAGGCUUUGGCAUCCUCUUGAAGAACGUUGCUGUGCUUAAUUGCAUGGUGCGGAAUUCAAGACUUUUACUUUGAGGAAAUUAGAGUGUUCACGGCAGGCAAGCGCCUUGAAUACAUUAGCAUGGAAUAAUAAUAUAGGAUCGCGAUUCUAUUUUGUUGGUUUCUAGAAUCACGAUAAUGAUUAAUAGGGAUAAUUGGGGCGAUUUGUAUUAACGCGUCAGAGUGGAUCUUGGAUGCGUUACGACAACUUACUGCGAAAGCAUUUGCCAAAGGAUGUUUUCAUUGAAUCAAUGAACGAAAGUAUUGGGAUCGAAGAACGAAUUAGGAU